Molecule: small nuclear RNA, 215 nt
Organism: Pongo abelii (Sumatran orangutan)
Lineage: Eukaryota; Metazoa; Chordata; Mammalia; Primates; Hominidae
Gene: U2
Rfam family: U2 spliceosomal RNA
About the family: U2 is a small nuclear RNA (snRNA) component of the spliceosome (involved in pre-mRNA splicing). Complementary binding between U2 snRNA (in an area lying towards the 5' end but 3' to hairpin I) and the branchpoint sequence (BPS) of the intron results the bulging out of an unpaired adenosine, on the BPS, which initiates a nucleophilic attack at the intronic 5' splice site, thus starting the first of two transesterification reactions that mediate splicing.
Source: Ensembl
AUCACUUCUUGGCCUUUUGGCUAAGAUCAAGUGUAAAGGGUGGUAUUAUCCCAAGGUUAAGGCCCUGUCAGGGGACUCCAAACUAACUGCAACCUCAUCCAAUAAUAAAGGUUUACUGUUUAUUUUAUCUUUGGGAAAUACAUGUCCAGUUCUGAAAAUUGUCCAAAUAGUAAUGAGCUUUUCACUGAAACAGGGAUUUCGGUUGCUUACUGAAC